GGGGAAUUUUGCGCAAUGGGCGAAAGCCUGACGCAGCAACGCCGCGUGGGUGAUGAAGGUCUUCGGAUCGUAAAACCCUGUCGUCGGGGACGAAGGUAGCUUAGUGAACAACUGAGUUGCUUGACGGUACCCGGAGAGGAAGCCCCGGCUAACUCUGUGCCAGCAGCCGCGGUAAUACAGAGGGGGCAAGCGUUAUUCGGAAUUAUUGGGCGUAAAGGGCGCGUAGGCGGUUUUUUAAGUCAGAUGUGUAAUCCCCGAGCUCAACUUGGGAACUGCAUCUGAGACUGGAAGGCUAGAGUACUGGAGAGGGUGGUAGAAUUCCACGUGUAGCGGUGAAAUGCGUAGAGAUGUGGAGGAAUACCAGUGGCGAAGGCGGCCACCUGGACAGUAACUGACGCUGAGGCGCGAAAGUGUGGGUAGCAAAC
This 425-nucleotide ribosomal RNA is filed under the name uncultured bacterium. RNAcentral's name for it is "bacterial SSU rRNA". It matches the Rfam family "Bacterial small subunit ribosomal RNA", at positions 356 to 773 of the family's 1533-position model. The record is from RNAcentral.